Molecule: long non-coding RNA, 229 nt
Organism: Scophthalmus maximus (turbot)
Lineage: Eukaryota; Metazoa; Chordata; Actinopteri; Pleuronectiformes; Scophthalmidae
Exons: 3
Source: RefSeq, a predicted model, not a curated record
CAGAGGUUCUUCAGUGGUAAAUGUUGUGGCCAUUCACAAUAUCUUUUCUUAAUAAUGGUCGCAUGUGUGUUCCCAUUGAAACUGGUCAUUUUGACAAGAAAAAAGGCUCACCUCGGUGUUCAUUUGCAAGAUACAGGUGGAGCUCCUUCACCGUGGCCCGGUCCAUAGCAGCCUGGACUCGUAACAUGUCCCUCUGCUCCUCCAAGCUGGCUCUGCAAUCACGCACACA